This 264-nucleotide ribosomal RNA is filed under the name uncultured bacterium. RNAcentral's name for it is "partial small subunit ribosomal RNA". It matches the Rfam family "Bacterial small subunit ribosomal RNA", at positions 26 to 285 of the family's 1533-position model. The record is from RNAcentral.
AGAGCGAACGCUGGCGGCGUGCUUAACACAUGCAAGUCGAGUGCGCGUCCGUAGCAAUACGGAUGGCGCACGGCGCACGGGUGCGUAACACGUGGGCAAUCUGCCCUCGGAUGGGGGAUACCCCCGCGAAAGCGGGACUAAUACCGCAUGAAAUUCCCGAGACUCCGGUCUUGGGACUCAAAGGCCGCAAGGGCCGUCUGAGGAGGAGCCCGCGCCCGAUUAGCUAGUUGGUGAGGUAACGGCUCACCAAGGCUUUGAUCGGUA